GCUCAGAACGAACGUUGGCGGUGUGCCUAAUACAUGCAAGUCGAGCGAGAAAACCGGGGCAACUCGGUGAGUACAGCGGCGGAAGGGUGCGUAAUACAUGGUUAACGUACCCCCCAGAUCGGGAUAACCCUCCGAAAGGUGGGCUAAUACCGGGUAAUGGCAGCGGGUGGCAUCAUUUGCUGCUUAAAGUCGCAAGACGCUGGGGGAGCGGACCAUGGCCUAUCAGCUAGUUGGCGGGGUAACGGCCCACCAAGGCGAUGACGGGUAGCCGGACUGAGAGGUUGAACGGCCACACGGGAACUGAGACACGGUCCCGACAUCUACGGAUGGCAGCAGUAGGGAAUCUUGCACAAUGGGCGAAAGCCUGAUGCAGCGACACCGCGUGGGGGAUGAAGGCCUUCGGGUUGUAAACCCCUUUCAUGAGGGAAGAACACUGACCUAACCUCAGGAAGAAGCACCGGCUAACUCCGUGCCAGCAGCUGCGGUAAUACGGAGAGUGCAAACGUUGUUCGGAUUCACUGGGCGUAAAGGGCACGUAGGCGGCUCGGCAAAUCGGUCGUGGAAUCCCGACGCUUACCGUCGGAACGGCGGCCGAAAAUACCGGGCUCGAGGGCGUGAGGGGUCACUGGAACUCCUGGUGAAGCGGUGAAAUGCGUAGAUAUCAGGAGGAACGCCGGAGGCGAAAGCGAGUGACUGGCGCGUUCCUGACGCUGAGGUGCGAAAGCUAGGGGAGCAAACAGGAUUAGAUACCCUGGUAGUCCUAGCCGUAAACGAUGGACACUGAGUGAAGGAGGGCUUGCCCUUCUUUGCUGCAGCUAACGCGUUAAGUGUCCCGCCUGACGAGUA
RNAcentral lists this ribosomal RNA (846 nucleotides) under uncultured bacterium. RNAcentral's name for it is "bacterial SSU rRNA". It matches the Rfam family "Bacterial small subunit ribosomal RNA", at positions 22 to 882 of the family's 1533-position model. The record is from RNAcentral.